UUGGCUAUCGCCAAGCGGUAGGCAAACGGAUUUUGAUUCGUCAUGCGUUGGUUCAAUCCAGCUAGCCCAGCCA
This 73-nucleotide transfer RNA is filed under the name Priestia megaterium. Its description in RNAcentral is "Bacillus megaterium tRNA-Gln". Lineage: Bacteria; Bacillati; Bacillota; Bacilli; Caryophanales; Bacillaceae. The record is from RNAcentral.